Molecule: ribosomal RNA, 443 nt
Filed under: uncultured bacterium
Lineage: Bacteria
Description: partial 16S ribosomal RNA
Rfam family: Bacterial small subunit ribosomal RNA
Source: RNAcentral
CCUACGGGUGGCAGCAGUGGGGAAUAUUGGGCAAUGUGCGCAAGCCUGACCCAGCAACGCCGCGUGAAGGACGAAGGCUUUCGGGUUGUAAACUUCUUUUCGCAGGGACGAAGACAGUGCCGGUACCUGAGGAAUAAGCCACGGCUAACUACGUGCCAGCAGCCGCGGUAAUACGUAGGUGGCACGCGUUAUCCGGAUUUGUUGGGUGUAAAGGGCGUGUAGGCCGGAGCGCAAGUCAGAUGUGAAAACUCAGGGCUCAAACCCGAGCCUGGCUUUGACACUGGCGUUCGUGAGUGCUGGAGAGGCAAUCGGAAGGCGGGGGGUAGCGGUGAAAUGCGUAGAUAUACGGAGGAACACCAGUGGCGAAGGCGGAUUGCUGGACAGUAACUGACGCUGAGGCGCGAAAGCGUGGGGAGCAAACAGGAUUAGAUACCCGUGUAGUC